This 468-nucleotide ribosomal RNA is filed under the name uncultured bacterium. RNAcentral describes it as "partial 16S ribosomal RNA". It matches the Rfam family "Bacterial small subunit ribosomal RNA", at positions 28 to 507 of the family's 1533-position model. The record is from RNAcentral.
GACGAACGCUGGCGGCGUGCUUAACACAUGCAAGUCGAACGGAAAGGCCCUGCUUUUGUGGGGUGCUCGAGUGGCGAACGGGUGAGUAACACGUGAGUAACCUGCCCUUGACUUUGGGAUAACUUCAGGAAACUGGGGCUAAUACCGGAUAGGAGCUCCUGCUGCAUGGUGGGGGUUGGAAAGUUUCGGCGGUUGGGGAUGGACUCGCGGCUUAUCAGCUUGCUGGUGGGGUAGUGGCUUACCAAGGCUUUGACGGGUAGCCGGCCUGAGAGGGUGACCGGCCACUUUGGGACUGAGAUACGGCCCAGACUCCUACGGGAGGCAGCAGUGGGGAAUAUUGCACAAUGGGCGGAAGCCUGAUGCAGCAACGCCGCGUGCGGGAUGACGGCCUUCGGGUUGUAAACCGCUUUCGCCUGUGACGAAGCGUGAGUGACGGUAAUGGGUAAAGAAGCACCGGCUAACUACGUG